RNAcentral lists this ribosomal RNA (425 nucleotides) under uncultured bacterium. RNAcentral's name for it is "bacterial SSU rRNA". It matches the Rfam family "Bacterial small subunit ribosomal RNA", at positions 356 to 773 of the family's 1533-position model. The record is from RNAcentral.
GGGGAAUCUUCCGCAAUGGACGAAAGUCUGACGGAGCGACGCCGCGUGUACGAAGAAGGCCUUCGGGUUGUAAAGUACUGUUGUUGGGGAAGAACGGCUCAAGUGUGAAUAAUGCUUGAGAUUGACGGUACCCAACGAGGAAGCCCCGGCUAACUACGUGCCAGCAGCCGCGGUAACACGUAGGGGGCGAGCGUUGUCCGGAAUUAUUGGGCGUAAAGGGCGCGUAGGCGGCCGUUUAAGUCUGAUGUGAAAGUGCGGGGCUUAACCCCGUAAAGCAUUGGAAACUGGAUGGCUUGAGGACAGGAGAGGAAAGUGGAAUUCCUAGUGUAGCGGUGAAAUGCGUAGAUAUUAGGAGGAACACCAGUGGCGAAGGCGACUUUCUGGACUGUUUCUGACGCUGAGGCGCGAAAGCGUGGGUAGCGAAC